RNAcentral lists this ribosomal RNA (253 nucleotides) under uncultured bacterium. RNAcentral's name for it is "partial 16S ribosomal RNA". It matches the Rfam family "Bacterial small subunit ribosomal RNA", at positions 524 to 776 of the family's 1533-position model. The record is from RNAcentral.
UACGGGGGGGGCAAGCGUUGUUCGGAAUUACUGGGCGUAAAGGGUUCGUAGGUGGCCGAUUAAGUCAGACGUGAAAUCCCUCAGCUCAACUGGGGAACUGCGUCUGAUACUGGUUGGCUUGAGUGCGGGAGAGGAACGCGGAAUUCCAGGUGUAGCGGUGAAAUGCGUAGAUAUCUGGAGGAACACCGGUGGCGAAGGCGGCGUUCUGGACUGCAACUGACACUGAGGAACGAAAGCCAGGGGAGCAAACGGG